Molecule: long non-coding RNA, 524 nt
Organism: Sapajus apella (tufted capuchin)
Lineage: Eukaryota; Metazoa; Chordata; Mammalia; Primates; Cebidae
Exons: 3
Source: RefSeq, a predicted model, not a curated record
CCUGAAUGUGCCUGAAUGUCCCGUCUCACACUCAGCUUCCAACUGCAACAAAGCUCCAACUCCUGCUGCUCGCAACCCUGCUUUGAGGUGGCCUGGGAUGACUGGCUCCGUCACUUAACCCUUCGGCUGUUUUCAAAAUGCUGAGAUGCAGUGAGCCACCCUUAGUGCUCUGCCCUGAAGGCUUCCGUCGGUCUGCUGAGUCACACUGCAGGCCAAGGGAUGUGUUCCUGCCUUUGGUGGACUGCUCCACCUAUGCUGACUGUUAAAGUCUCCCUCCUUCAGCCAGUCCAGACCAGAGAGCACACCUGAAUCUUCCGGCCUCCCCUCUUCAUGUGUGUCCCUAAGGAGAAGCUUGUGCCCUGUCUCUGAGGCAAGACAUAGCCGACGAUGAACUGACGGUGGUAGUCCCGACCUCCACUUGUAAUCCCUGCCGGCAUCUCCCCAGCUCCCCACCAGCCUCAUUCUGUACAACAUCCUCUGGCCAAGGUUACAGCUCCUUCUCCCUGGAGCCCCUCGGACCAGCA